GUGGGGAAUAUUGGACAAUGGGCGCAAGCCUGAUCCAGCCAUGCCGCGUGAGUGAUGAAGGCCUUAGGGUUGUAAAGCUCUUUCAGUAGGGAAGAUAAUGACGGUACCUACAGAAGAAGCCCCGGCUAACUUCGUGCCAGCAGCCGCGGUAAUACGAAGGGGGCUAGCGUUGUUCGGAUUUACUGGGCGUAAAGCGCACGUAGGCGGAUUGGUCAGUUAGAGGUGAAAUCCUGGAGCUCAACUCCAGAACUGCCUUUAAUACUGCCAGUCUAGAGUCCAGAAGAGGUGAGUGGAACUCCUAGUGUAGAGGUGGAAUUCGUAGAUAUUAGGAAGAACACCAGUGGCGAAGGCGGCUCACUGGUCUGGUACUGACGCUGAGGUGCGAAAGCGUGGGGAGCAAACAGGAUUAGAUACCCCUGUAGUCC
RNAcentral lists this ribosomal RNA (425 nucleotides) under uncultured bacterium. Its description in RNAcentral is "partial 16S ribosomal RNA". It matches the Rfam family "Bacterial small subunit ribosomal RNA", at positions 354 to 796 of the family's 1533-position model. The record is from RNAcentral.